UUUGCUGGGUGGGUGCGUUUGCCCACCUUCUUCGCAUUGACAUUAUUUUGAUUUCAUACAAAACAAUUUUUAUUUUUGGUGCGGAAAUGAAUACAAAAAUAUUGAAAAACCAAAUUUCAGUGAUUAAUGUUUAAUAAAUUUAUUGUAAACCAAAAAAAAACAGAGUUUAGUGACUCCAGCUUUUACAAACGCUGGUGAAAAACAGGCAAAGCAAGUGUUGUGAAGUGCAGACAAAACGGUGGAAACCUAAAGUAAUUGUUGUCUGAAGGUCUGCGUCGGUUUGCAGUUUGUGUUCCAACUCUUACGUGGCGUUUGCAGCGGCUCAGCUGGUGUUGUUUGCUUAACCG
Molecule: long non-coding RNA, 347 nt
Organism: Bactrocera tryoni
Lineage: Eukaryota; Metazoa; Arthropoda; Insecta; Diptera; Tephritidae
Exons: 2
Source: RefSeq, a predicted model, not a curated record